CCAGUGCUCGAGAUAGACGCACUGCCAUGUGAAACACAAUUCACUUGAAUCACGUCAGAGUGUACCUGCCUGAGAAACUUCAAGAAAGCUUUUAGUGAUAGGUCCAGUUCCUGGACCUGGUGUCAGUCCCUGAUGGCAAGGCAGACACCAUCGUUUCCGCCAUCCCAAGGAGGUGCUGCACAUCAAAAACUUACCAGCAGAGAGAUUGUACGGCCUGGGCACUGAUGGGGCUGCAGUGAUGACUGGACAACAUAGUGGUGUGGCAAAACAGCUAAAGGAUGCCUUCCGGUGGAUGGUGUCUGUGGCUUGUGCUGCCCACCGCCUUGCUCUAGCCUGUAAAUAUGCAUCAGCUGAGGUCCCCUAUAUGGACACUUUUAAGGAGCACCUGCAGCAGCUCCAUAGUUACUUUUCCAAAAGCAGUAACAAGACAGAAUUCUUGAAAGCUGCUUCAGCGAUCCUGGGCCUUCAGUACUUAAAAGUGAAGGAAGUACAGGAUGUUCGCUGGCUGUCCCAGCACCUGGCCGUGGAUAAUCUUCAGUGAAACCUCAGCGCAGUGUUGGCUGCAUUGGCAGAGGAGCUGGAGGUGAACCGGUGCCCAACUGCUAAGGGCCGCUACACUUUCUGUGCCAUGUACAGGACUUGGACCAUGCCAUCUCAACCUUAUUUCAUGUCCUUAGAGGGCGAUGUUACUCCAAGAUGUUUUUAAGAACAAUCAAGAACAGCACGUUGGCGGCUCUCCCUCCCAUUCAGCCAACACAAGCAUACAACACAAACCUAUCCAAUUCUGUCUGAACCCAACCCUACCCAACCCUGGCUUAUCACCUUACCCAACCCUGUCCCAUACCCCAACCAAGGUUCGCAUCCCGCUCGCACUCCCACCCCCAAUCCUAACCUUAACCCUUACCCUAACCAGGGUUCGCAUCCCUCUCCCAACCCUAACCCUAACCCUAACCAGGGUUCAUAUCCCGCUCCCACUCCCAACCCUAAACACACUUGUAUCCUUCUCCUAACGCGCUAACCCUUACCCCAACCAGGGUUGGUAUCCUGCUCCCACCACCGACCCCUAACCCCUAACCCCAACCCUCCCACAGAUGGGGACACUGACACCCUUCUAAACAACAGCUGGCCCCUAUCCCCUUCAUCUUUCUCCUCAUCAUCCCAUCAGCACAAAAUACUAAUCCCCUUGGUAUCAACAUUUUCACAUAGAGUCAGACCCCUACAUCAAGCAAUAAAACACAACUUCUCCAGGUUCACCCACCCCUUCAACCUUACAGAAUAAUUUCAGCAUUCAGGAAUAACAAAAAUCUCAAAUAUUUACUCACCCAGGCAAAGUUCAGGAACAUACCACCACAACCCCCACUACAGACAGAGAAAAUGAAUUGCCAAUCCCCACAGCAACACCUCUGCCCCGAUCACAGACAACCUUUCCCUCAGCACCUCCAAUGUUAUCUAUAUUGUCACCUGUACACUAUGAAAUAAACAUUAUAAAUCAGUCAAACAAAACCUACAAUAGAAACCCAGUUGAAACAACAUCUGUACAACAUCAAACGAGCACAAUUACAUACAGUACUGGUUAAUCACUUUCAAGAUCACCCCAUCACCAAUCACAGUGUAUCGGGUCUGCAGGCGGGUCCGGGGACAGCAGAACACAUUUGGAUAAGAGUUUUAAAAACCAUUACACCAGAGGGUUUAAAUGAAAAACAUACUCCAUACUCACAUUUGAAAUGUUUGGGUGGCCUACCCUUAGUGAUGGAGGAAGAAUGGAAGAAUCCAAUAGUGGAUGUUAUCGGUGUGCUCCUGCACUUGAAUUGUUUGUUGAUUUUUGUAGUCCUUUUGGUUUUAAAAGUAUCUGAAUCCCCUGUUAAAAAAAGGGUGUCCAAAAAGUCAUCAAAAAUUGUUUACAAAUAUACAAAUAAAAAGCGCUGCCUGA
Long non-coding RNA from Coregonus clupeaformis (lake whitefish), 1930 nucleotides. RefSeq lists it as uncharacterized. The record is from RefSeq and is a predicted model, not a curated record. Lineage: Eukaryota; Metazoa; Chordata; Actinopteri; Salmoniformes; Salmonidae. The transcript is spliced from 5 exons.